AGAAACACCUGGAAGCUGCACGACUGAUGUUUCAGAGUAUCGUUUGAUCUUAUCCAAUUUAAAUGCAUUGACGGGCGAUAGUUAUCGUGAUAAGUGGUUAGAUAAACUUCUGGAAGGAAUUCAAACAGCUUGCAAUCCAAAUCAAGAAGCUUUAACUGAUGAUAAGAAGGGCAAUCUUGCAACUUCAGAUCUCACCAGUAAUGGCAACGGUGGUGCAUCAACUGUUACUGAACCCAAGGAAAACAAU
RNAcentral lists this unclassified non-coding RNA (247 nucleotides) under Hevea brasiliensis (rubber tree). Lineage: Eukaryota; Viridiplantae; Streptophyta; Magnoliopsida; Malpighiales; Euphorbiaceae. The record is from RNAcentral.